RNAcentral lists this ribosomal RNA (1695 nucleotides) under Escherichia albertii. Its description in RNAcentral is "partial 23S ribosomal RNA". It matches the Rfam family "Bacterial large subunit ribosomal RNA", at positions 1241 to 2915 of the family's 2925-position model. Lineage: Bacteria; Pseudomonadati; Pseudomonadota; Gammaproteobacteria; Enterobacterales; Enterobacteriaceae. The record is from RNAcentral.
CUGUAAGCCUGCGAAGGUGUGCUGUGAGGUAUGCUGGAGGUAUCAGAAGUGCGAAUGCUGACAUAAGUAACGAUAAAGCGGGUGAAAAGCCCGCUCGCCGGAAGACCAAGGGUUCCUGUCCAACGUUAAUCGGGGCAGGGUGAGUCGACCCCUAAGGCGAGGCCGAAAGGCGUAGUCGAUGGGAAACAGGUUAAUAUUCCUGUACUUGGUGUUACUGCGAAGGGGGGACGGAGAAGGCUAUGUUGGCCGGGCGACGGUUGUCCCGGUUUAAGCGUGUAGGCUGGUUUUCCAGGCAAAUCCGGAGAAUCAAGGCUGAGGCGUGAUGACGAGGCACUACGGUGCUGAAGCAACAAAUGCCCUGCUUCCAGGAAAAGCCUCUAAGCAUCAGGUAACAUCAAAUCGUACCCCAAACCGACACAGGUGGUCAGGUAGAGAAUACCAAGGCGCUUGAGAGAACUCGGGUGAAGGAACUAGGCAAAAUGGUGCCGUAACUUCGGGAGAAGGCACGCUGAUAUGUAGGUGAAGCGACUUGCUCGUGGAGCUGAAAUCAGUCGAAGAUACCAGCUGGCUGCAACUGUUUAUUAAAAACACAGCACUGUGCAAACACGAAAGUGGACGUAUACGGUGUGACGCCUGCCCGGUGCCGGAAGGUUAAUUGAUGGGGUCAGCGCAAGCGAAGCUCUUGAUCGAAGCCCCGGUAAACGGCGGCCGUAACUAUAACGGUCCUAAGGUAGCGAAAUUCCUUGUCGGGUAAGUUCCGACCUGCACGAAUGGCGUAAUGAUGGCCAGGCUGUCUCCACCCGAGACUCAGUGAAAUUGAACUCGCUGUGAAGAUGCAGUGUACCCGCGGCAAGACGGAAAGACCCCGUGAACCUUUACUAUAGCUUGACACUGAACACUGGUCCUUGAUGUGUAGGAUAGGUGGGAGGCUUUGAAGUGUGGACGCCAGUCUGCAUGGAGCCGUCCUUGAAAUACCACCCUUUAAUGGCUGGUGUUCUAACGUGGGCCCGUAAUCCGGGUUGCGGACAGUGUCUGGUGGGUAGUUUGACUGGGGCGGUCUCCUCCUAAAGAGUAACGGAGGAGCACGAAGGUUGGCUAAUCCUGGUCGGACAUCAGGAGGUUAGUGCAAUGGCAUAAGCCAGCUUGACUGCGAGCGUGACGGCGCGAGCAGGUGCGAAAGCAGGUCAUAGUGAUCCGGUGGUUCUGAAUGGAAGGGCCAUCGCUCAACGGAUAAAAGGUACUCCGGGGAUAACAGGCUGAUACCGCCCAAGAGUUCAUAUCGACGGCGGUGUUUGGCACCUCGAUGUCGGCUCAUCACAUCCUGGGGCUGAAGUAGGUCCCAAGGGUAUGGCUGUUCGCCAUUUAAAGUGGUACGCGAGCUGGGUUUAGAACGUCGUGAGACAGUUCGGUCCCUAUCUGCCGUGGGCGCUGGAGAACUGAGGGGGGCUGCUCCUAGUACGAGAGGACCGGAGUGGACGCAUCACUGGUGUUCGGGUUGUCAUGCCAAUGGCACUGCCCGGUAGCUAAAUGCGGAAGAGAUAAGUGCUGAAAGCAUCUAAGCACGAAACUUGCCCCGAGAUGAGUUCUCCCUGAGACUUAGAGUCUCCUGAAGGAACGUUGAAGACGACGACGUUGAUAGGCCGGGUGUGUAAGCGCAGCGAUGCGUUGAGCUAACCGGUACUAAUGAACCGUGAG